RNAcentral lists this small RNA (4949 nucleotides) under Pongo abelii (Sumatran orangutan). RNAcentral's name for it is "retained intron". Lineage: Eukaryota; Metazoa; Chordata; Mammalia; Primates; Hominidae. The record is from RNAcentral.
CGUGAACGUGCUCCGCGGGCUCAGUCCGCCCGCCGCUGCGUCCCGGGGUGCAAGUGAGCUUCUCGGCUGCCCCGCGGGCCGGGGUGCGGAGCCGACAUGCGCCCGCUGCUCGGCCUCCUUCUGGUCUUCGCCGGCUGCACCUUCGCCUUGUACUUGCUGUCGACGCGACUGCCCCGCGGGCGGAGACUGGGCUCCACCGAGGAGGCUGGAGGCAGGUCGCUGUGGUUCCCCUCCGACCUGGCAGAGCUGCGGGAGCUCUCUGAGGUCCUUCGAGAGUACCGGAAGGAGCACCAGGCCUACGUGUUCCUGCUCUUCUGCAGCGCCUACCUCUACAAACAGGGCUUUGCCAUCCCCGGCUCCAGCUUCCUGGUCAGUGGCCUGCCCUCCCUCCAACCGUGUUUCCUUAUCUGUAAAAUUUGGAUACUCCCCUGUAACCUCAUGGGAUAGUUGUGUGGGGAUGAUUAAACGUGACAGUGGGUGUAUCGGGGCUGGCACACAUUGGCCCUCAGCGCCUACUGAGGGAUUGAGCACCGAAGUGGGAGACGCUGACAGCUUCCUUUUGUACUGCUUCCUUCUCCCACCCCAGCCUGUUUCUCUCCUCUAGGCUGAGGCUGGACCUGCUCAAACAGUUUCCUUGUCGGAAACUAGAAGAAAAGCAAACAUGUCUAAGAGAGGCAGGGGAGGUGUGUGGGGCUCGGGGUCAGGGGCUGACUCCUUGAGGCUGCCCUAUGUCUGUCUUCUGUCUUGAACUGAUCCCUCUUCAGGGCAGAGAGCCAGCUGCUGCUUGGUGGGGGCUCCACAUCCAGAUCUGAGGGUGAACCCUGACUCUGCCUGCUGUGCUCUUGGGGAGGAUACUUAACCUCUCACCUGUAGAAUGGGGCAAGGAUGGCAUGACUCAGGGAUGUAGUGAGGAUUACACAGGACAUGUAGUCAAGCACUUAACACAGUGCUCAGCGGCUCCCCGGCUUCCCACUUCCAAGGCUUCCUUUUACUUUCUCUCUUGGAUCCCAUGUUUUGUCAGGAUGAUGUCUACCAACCAAAAUGCAUUUAGGAAGUAUUGGUUCACUUUUCCCUUUUUCUUAAACCGAGACGUCUUCAAGUGUUGGCUAGAGCUCUGGUCAACAUGGAACCCCGGUAUUAGCAUACUACAUAGAUGUAAUUCCAGCAAAAAGCAAAGAAACAAGACACCUUAACAUAGCUUGUGUGGUCUUACCAAGGGAAAAUUUAUGGUUUGUGUUCAUCUUUUGAAAUGGUAAAAAUAACUUGUGAGUUUCAUUUCUACUUUCUUGGAGCCCCAGUAAUUGUAGAAUCUACCAUAGCCACAGAUCCCAUUUAAUUCUCUCCUGCCCUCUGAGGCUUUUAUCCUUAUCCUCAUUUUCAAGGUGAAGAGACUGAUGCCAGGUGUAGUUCCCAGCCUUUUCAUAAUUUUUCAUUCACCUCUUUAAAUGGCAAUUGGGACCUGGGGCAGUGGCUCAUGCCUGCAAUCCUAGCACUUUGGGAGGCUGAGGUGGGAGGAUCACUUGAGUCCAGGAGUUUGAAACCAGCCUGGGCAACACAGUGAGACCCCAUCUCUACAAAAAAUUUUAAAAAGUAGGUGGAUAUGGUGGUGUGUGCCUACAGUCCUAGCUGCUUGGGAGGCUGAGGCAGGAGGAUCGCUUGAUCCAGGAGUUCGAGGAUGUAGUGAGCUAUGAUCAUGUCACUGUACUCCAGCAUGGGUGACAGAGCGAGAUCCUAUUUCUUAAAUAAAUAAAUAAAUAAUGCAAUUGGGUUUUAGCUGGAAAAAAGCAGUGGAGGAGGAGGGAACCUGUGACUCUCAGGCUCCAAGAUGAGGUGCCUGGUAGCUGCCAGAUGUUCACAUGCCUGAGGGUUUGUUUUCUUUGCAGAAUGUUUUAGCUGGUGCCUUGUUUGGGCCAUGGCUGGGGCUUCUGCUGUGCUGUGUGUUGACCUCAGUGGGUGCCACAUGCUGCUACCUGCUCUCCAGUAUUUUUGGCAAACAGUUGGUGGUGUCCUACUUUCCUGAUAAAGUGGCCCUGCUGCAGAGAAAGGUAAGGGGAGGGGUCACAUCUGAGAGCUGGGACCCCAGAGAGUCACUUCAUGCAUGGCCUUGAGAGAAGCCAGUGGCAGGGAUUUCCCACAGGACUCUUCCACGGUGUCUCGGGAGGUCCUAGGGGUUCUUUUGAUGUCUUCAGGAGACAUAGACCUGGGAUCAAAUCCCAGCUCCAUCAUUACCAGCUCUGUGACUUUGGGCAAGUUCUCAACUUCUCUGAUCCUCAGCAUCUCUAUUUUAAAAUGAGGAAAACAGUCUUUUCUUGGAGGGUUGUUGGAAGAAUUGGGAACAGAUUAUGUAAAGAGUCUAGAACAGUGCCCGGCACCAGCAGGUUUUCAAUACCUGGAGACCCUUUCUGCUUCUUAACAGCUUUCUUCUCUUUGGCUACAGGUGGAGGAGAACAGAAACAGCUUGUUUUUUUUCUUGUUGUUUUUGAGACUUUUCCCCAUGACACCAAACUGGUUCUUGAACCUCUCGGCCCCGAUUCUGAACAUCCCCAUCGUGCAGUUCUUCUUCUCAGUUCUUAUCGGUAAGAUGCUAGUGGAGUAGGUUUGAGUCUUCAGAGCUGUCACGUUGGGGGUCUGCCCUGGGUUAUUGGCCAUGUGAGCGUGUGCCUGCUUCUGAGAACAGAGGCUCACAAAGUGUGACUUCAAGCCUUAUGAUCUAAAGAAAUGAUUCCUGAUUUCAGAUCUACUCAGGCUUCAACAUGAAAACCCAUAAAAAUACUUUUAAAUACUUUUGGACUAAAUAAAGAUUGUUCAUUGCAUGGCUGUAUGUGCUAGGCACUGGGAUUAGAAAAGAUAGUCUGUGUAAAGUAUACAACUUGGCCCAUAGUAAGUACUCAGUAAAUGCUAGCAGGAAGAGCAGGGUUGGAAUGAGGGUAUGUGUGUGUCCAUGAGUUUUGAGUGGGGACAGAAGAAAGGAGCAGAGCAAGGGACUUCCUGUCUGGUUUUUGGCCCCUGUUUUGAUUAAGUUCUGCCUUAGGAAUUGCUGGCAUCAAUGAGGUUCCUUCCUGCCUUUUGACAAUUGCACAACCUGCAGCAAGCUACUUACCCUUAAUGGGCCACCUGGCUAGGAAUAGAGCAGCGUUUCUCAAAGUGUGGGCCUUGGGCCACCUUUAUCAGAUUGGCAGGGUCAGGGGGCUUCUUGAGAAUCUAGAUUUGGGGCCUACUCCAGACCUACUGAAUCAGAAUCUUGGGAGUGGGAUCUGGGAAUAUGCAUUUUAAUCCAGUUCCUAGUCAGUCAUUUUCAAACUGCAAACCCAGUCGUUCUCAAACUGCAAACCUAUUAAGAAUCGCCUGCAAACCUAUUAAAAACCACUUGGAAGCCGGGCUCAGCAGCUCACGCCUGUAAUCCCAGCACUUUGGGAGGCUGAGGCAGGCGGAUCACUUGAGGUUGGGAGUUCAAGACCAGCCUGGCCAACAUGGUGAAACCUCAUCUCUACUAAAAAUACAAAAAUUAGCCUGACGUGGUGGUGUGCAUCUGUAAUUCAACUACUUGGGAGGCUGAGGCAGGAGAAUCGCUUGAACCUGGGAGGCGGAGGUUGCAGUAAGCUGAGAGGAUGACGCUUCACUCCAGCCUGGGUGACAGAGUGAGGCUCCAUCUCAAAAAAAAAAAAAAAAAGCAAAAAAAAAACACAACAAAACAACAAAACAUCACCUGUGUAGAUUUUAAUCCCUAAGCUAAGGCUACACCACAUAUCAACUAAAUCAUCUCUGGGGUAGGACUCAGGGAUCAGGAUCUUUUAACGUUUUCCAGGUGAUGGAAGUAGUUAGUCCCUAAAAGGGAUUCUGCUGGAUCCUGAGUUUUGCAGUCUACUGAAUUUAGAUGAUAUCUAAAGUUUCUCCUUGCCUUUGACAAUUAUAUGACCUCCAGCGAGCUACUUACUCUGAAUGGGCCACUCGUCCAGAUAAGGGGCUGGGACUAGAGCAGUGUUUCUCGAAGUAUGGGCCUUGGACUACCUUUAUCAGAGUGGUAAAGUGCUAACAUCCUAUAAAAUCAGUGUCUGCUACUUUCUCCAUACUGGAAGAAAACCACCCUCCUUAAGCCUAAGGCAAGGAUCUCUUUCUUUAAACCUUCCUUAGAGCCUAGAGGGAAAGACGAUUCAGGGCUUCUAGGUCAAACAGAGCAAAUCUGUGGUUGAGCAGCUGCUAUUAAUAGGGAUACCUGAGAGAAAUGGAGAUCUUAAAUAGAAGCAAGAUCUACCACAGCCAAUUCUGGUCAUAUUGGCUUUCAGACAAAGUGCCUCAGGCCCUCAGCUAGUGGGGGUUUGCUUCUUCUAAUUACCUAGGUGGCAUGAGGCUUGGCAAGAUUCUGGAGACCGGGCUUCCUGUCCCCUAUCUCACAAGCUGUGUGACCCUGAGGGGUCUGGGAUCUUCAUCUAAUGUAUACUUCCUCUCUUAUAGAAGAGGAAUGGACUAUCAGAGGGUUCCAAACCAAUCGGAAUCUCAGGGUGGGAGUGGAGAAGGGGCUUUUAAAAUACAGGUUCCUGGGCACUACCCCAGAACCAAGUAACCGGAAUUUCUGGGGUGGAGCUGAAGGAUGUGGUUUUUAACAAUGUCACCAGCUGAUCGUUCUGCAGCCAGCCCGUUCAGCCAGCCAGACUUUUGGAAUCCAGUGGAUUUGAUGACAUCUUUGAGACGGUGCAGAAUGUGAAUAGUACUUCUUUUAAAAAGCUGUUUUUUUGUUUGUUUGUCAACAGUGGCACUUCUGUCUUUACUUUGGCUGUUGGGUACUCAGAACCAAAUUUGGGGCCCACUUUUAGCAAACAGGUGAACCUUAUGCAUUUUUCUACUAACUGUACUCCCUGAUGUCUUGUAUUCUUCUGCAGGCAUUUUACUUUUCGUAUUUAAACUUUUAUUUAUUUAUUUACUUUUGAGACAGAGUCUGGCUCUAUCGCCUG